GAUAUACAUGCAUACAGACAGAUACACAUACAUACAGACACACAUACAAACAGAUACACAUACAGACAGACAGAUACACACACAUACAGACACAUACAAACACACAUGCAAAAUGUCAUUUUUUUUUUAGUCACCCUCCUGUUUCCUACCUUUUAGGUGCAGGAGGAUGACUCCCCUGGGGUACAGUGGCUCAGGCUGAUGGGAGUCAGAGCUCCUACUCUAACCCCUUCCCGUCCUUCUCUCAUGUGGCGCUCUCUUCCUCCUCCCGCGCAGCUCAAAGAUUGCUAGGAAGUGACUGGGGCUGUCACUUCAUCCCAGCUCGACAUCAUCA
Non-coding RNA from Pelobates cultripes (western spadefoot toad), 331 nucleotides. Lineage: Eukaryota; Metazoa; Chordata; Amphibia; Anura; Pelobatidae. The record is from the annotation of a GenBank genome assembly.